UUUUUGUUUGUGCGAAGGUGUCCGCCAUGAACAGUUUGUGAAUACCUUUGACGACGCAGGCUUGUGCUCUUCUCUUUAGGUUGGGGGGGGGGGGGUGGGGGCAAAAUCCUUGUUUGAACCCCCCUCCCUCAGUGGGUGUAAGACCAACAAGCUGCGAGCUCAAGAGGUUUCACAUCCUUUAUCUUCAACCUGUUCAGUUCUCCACAUGCGGCCCUGAGCAUGGAAGCAUUUUUUUCUGCCAAGCUAGUCGCUCAGUGCCUGGUCGAUGUGAUGGUGAACUCCACAGGGGGGCUGAACAGGCUAGUGGACAUAAAGGAAAGAGAGGACCACGCGGGGCGGGGGUCGCCUGAGAGUGAUCGGAGGCUCCAGAGGGGCCGAUGAGUCUUGUUUCUCGGCUGGGCGACUCUCGGAGGACACGGCGAGCUGAGACAACUCAUUUGCAUAUAAACUGGGAGAGGCAGGGAUUGUCAUCGGCGGCACAUUAGACGCAAGGAGCGCGAGGGGAGAGGAUUUUCAUGUGCAAAUUUCAGCCUCGCCAACUCUGUGCAUUAUUAUUUCAUCAGAGCCGAAGAAAAGGAAGCCCCUCCGAUCCCCAAAAACCGCGCCAUCAUCCCCACGGACACUUGGAGAGUCGGACCAAAUCCCCCGGCCGCGCCUCUCCCCCCAGAAGGCCCCGCUACUGAGUAGCUGUUUACAGCGGGGGGGCCCCGCGCAGCAGGAGGAGGAGUCAAUCUGCCUCCGAGAUAAGAGCCGAAACCACAGGAAAGAGGGAACAGAUAUACACCAGUUGUGACCAGCAGUAUUGGUGUUCCGUGCAUUAAUUGCUUGUAAACUGCGAGGCUGGAGGCUCGCCGGCUUUUAAGUUUAAAAAGGAGAUUACAGCCAAUUAGCGGGGCCUCUGAAAACCCCUCGCUGCCUGGGGAAUAGCGGCUGAUCCCUAAUGUGGGACAGCUGUGAGCAACAAAAGAACAGUCGCGGUCCUGCUUUUGAGAACGCACUCGCACGCGGAGCACUUUCAAAAAUACACACACACACACACACACACACACACACACACACACGUGUAUAAUCUCACAUGCAAACAGGAAAAUAGAAAAAAGGCCCAAUGGUAGCACUGGCUGCUAAGAAGCACUAUUACGAGCAUGAAAAAUGAAUGAGUGCAUAAAUGCGAGCGUCGCCAAACUGACAUGAAGUACGUUUGCAUGUUCCCAAAGUGACAAAGCGGGAACAGACGCGGAGGUAAAUAUGUUUUAAAAGGUGAGGGGGAAAACGUUUGUGGGUUGGGAAAACGUAUUUCCUCCCUUUAAAUCAAUUUGUCAGCUUCUUCUUAGAGACGCGUUAGCAAAAAAAAGAGCCGAGUGUUUCCCUGUAAACUGCCAUCUUUAAUUUCUUUGUCUGACGUGCUCCGCCGCACCACAACGCACACCAGAGACCGAGCAUGAGGUGAGCGAAAGGUUCAAAGCCCAGAUGGGAGCGCAGCCUGUGUACCCCUGAGCACGGUGGAUUACCUCAUUCACUCUCAUGUCAAACAGAAGGCAGGAAGAGGAGGAACACAAGUCAAAGGAUCUCCACAGGCUGCGUAAUCUACGACGAUUCGUGCCGAGCCCGCAGCGCGACUCCCGUCUUCCCCUCUAUCUCUUCUCGCUUUUUUUUCCCGCCUGUGUACCUUCUCUGUCAUGCUCGCUGUGCACCUGCACAUCUUCAACUGCACCCUGACAGCCCCCCCCAGCCCCCCCGCGCCCCUCGUACCCGCGCACACAUUAGCGUAAAACUGUUGUCAGCCAACUAGCAACUUCAGGAUGACGCCGCGUGGACAGAACAUGGAUUCCACGAGCUGUUUUUUGGUCUUCAAGUGUCAAAGAUAGCUUCAUGAUGGCAAAAUGUUUUGUUUUUGUUAAACCUGGUCUGCUUGUAAAGAAAACGUGUAACUUGUAACUUUGUAACCCAU
Gasterosteus aculeatus aculeatus (three-spined stickleback) is the source of this 1948-nucleotide long non-coding RNA. The record is from Ensembl. Lineage: Eukaryota; Metazoa; Chordata; Actinopteri; Perciformes; Gasterosteidae.